This 369-nucleotide unclassified non-coding RNA is filed under the name soil metagenome. RNAcentral's name for it is "partial contains 5.8S ribosomal RNA, internal transcribed spacer 2, and large subunit ribosomal RNA". The stretch from base 1 to 120 matches the Rfam family "5.8S ribosomal RNA", at positions 35 to 154 of the family's 154-position model. The record is from RNAcentral.
GAUGAAGAACGUAGUGAAAUGCGAUAAGUAAUAUGAAUUGCAGAUUUUCGUGAAUCAUCGAAUCUUUGAACGCACAUUGCGCCCUUUGGUAUUCCAAAGGGCAUGCCUGUUUGAGCGUCAUUUCUCUCUCAAAUCUUCGGAUUUGGUUUUGAGUGAUACUCUUAGUCAGACUAGGCGUUUGCUUGAAAUGUAUUGGCAUGAGUGGUACUAGAUAGUGCUAAACUGUUUCAAUGUAUUAGGUUUAUCCAACUCGUUGACCAGUGAAGUAUUUGUUUAUUACACAGGCUCGGCCUUACAACAACAAACAAAGUUUGACCUCAAAUCAGGUAGGACUACCCGCUGAACUUAAGCAUAUCAAUAAGCGGAGGA